Molecule: long non-coding RNA, 526 nt
Filed under: Homo sapiens (human)
Lineage: Eukaryota; Metazoa; Chordata; Mammalia; Primates; Hominidae
Description: HSALNT0384685
Source: RNAcentral
GGCCCAGAGUGGGAUCUUAAAGCAGAGUCUGGCUCAAGAUUGAGACAAUUCCCAGCAGAAUGAAUGGAGCAGUAACACAGUCAGAAGGCCCUGAGGGAGGCAGGUGGCUCUCUCUGUUCCUGCCAGCACUCUCUCCCCCACUUCUGAUAACAGACCUGCCGUACCAUGGGAAGAUGGCCAAAAAUGGCCGCCCACGGGAAGGCAUCGAGCUUGAGGAAGAGGCCCCAUUCAUCUCCGUACCCCAGGCCCUGGUACACAGCAGGCAGAUAAACCUGCCAGUAAUUUCAGCAAAUGAAACGUGGAACACGUCAAGGCCAGAGGAUGGAAAAGGCUCCAGUUUUGAUAAAAGGAGGCCUGCUUGGCUUGGAAUCCUCUCUCCUGCUGGUUGGGAGAUGCAAAGAUGUUUCCAGAGAGGGGCUGAUGAAUUGAGGGGAAAGAAAUGAGCCCAGUAUGAGUCCCCUUUCAGGGCUGAGCGUGUAUAAAACCAAACAACUUGGAACCGCUCCAAGAGAGGGGAUUAAAGCAA